GUGUCAGCAGCCGCGGUAAUACGGAGGGUGCAAGCGUUGUUCGGAAUUACUGGGCGUAAAGCGCGUGUAGGCGGUUGAGCAAGUCAGAUGUGAAAUCCUUCCGCUUAACGGGAGAAGUGCAUUUGAUACUACUCGGCUGGAGUUCGGGAGAGGAGAGUGGAAUUCCCGGUGUAGAGGUGAAAUUCGUAGAUAUCGGGAGGAACACCGGUGGCGAAGGCGGCUCUCUGGCCCGGUACUGACGCUGAGACGCGAAAGCGUGGGUAGCAAACAGGAUUAGAUACCCGGGUAGUCC
This 292-nucleotide ribosomal RNA is filed under the name uncultured bacterium. RNAcentral describes it as "partial 16S ribosomal RNA". It matches the Rfam family "Bacterial small subunit ribosomal RNA", at positions 505 to 796 of the family's 1533-position model. The record is from RNAcentral.